This is an RNA transcript of Panicum virgatum (switchgrass), 1694 nucleotides long. It is a transcript of the gene named snurportin-1-like, with no coding region annotated. The transcript is spliced from 9 exons. Lineage: Eukaryota; Viridiplantae; Streptophyta; Magnoliopsida; Poales; Poaceae. The record is from RefSeq and is a predicted model, not a curated record.
UCCGAGCAUAGGUGCGGAAGCGGAACACUAGUAGUCUACGCUACGCCAAGGAGAAUGGCGCCGCCGCCGGAACCCCGGCGCCCGUACAAGCGCCCGGCCAUCUCCGACCAGCAGCGCCGCCGCGAGCUCGCGCUACAGGCGCAGUCCGCCCGGCGCGCCGACGCCCAGGCGCGCGCUCGCGCCCUCGCCAGUUCCCUCCUCACCACCCCCACCCCUCCUGCGGCCACCGACCGCCACGGAGAGGAGGAGGAGUAUCAGGAGGAGGAGCACGGGCACACCGUCGCCGACGUCGCCGCGGCCGCCUCCAAGCUCCGCAGCUCCGACGCGCGCCGGUGGUUCGCCCGCCAGAUCAUGCUACCGGAGUGGAUGGUCGACGCCCCGCCCCACCUCGCCAGCGACUGGCAUGUUUUUGCCAGGCCUUCUGGUAAACGAUGCUUGGUUGUGUCUUCCAAUGGCAUGACGAUUAGCAGGGCGCGUAACGGAUCCAUCCUUCACCGGUUCCCUUCCGCUCUACCGAAUGGAUCAAAGAGAGACAUAUCUGGCCCAGCAAGCUCCUACUCCAUACUCGAUUGCAUUUUUCAUGAGCCUGAUCAAACAUACUAUAUCAUUGAUAUGAUUUGUUGGCGAGGCUAUUCACUGUAUGAUUGCACUGCCGAGUUCAGGUUUUUCUGGGUAAACUCUAAGCUCACAGAAACUUCAGCUGGUGAUCCUCCAUCAACAUACCAUCGAUAUAGAUUCAGUGCUGUCCCAAUAUUUGAGUGCACUCUUGAGGGUCUUCAAGCAGCUUACUCUGGGAGCACACCUUAUGUCAAAGAUGGCUUGCUGUUUUACAACAAGCAUGCACAUUAUCAAGCUGGAAUCACACCUCUUACACUAGUAUGGAAAGAUGAAACCUGUAGCCAAUAUGUUAUUGAUACUGACAGCAAAGGAGAAAUUCCAAAUGAGCAGCAACUUGUGUUGGAAUUGCAAAAGGAUGGAAAGCUAGUUACAUCUGAUGACCCUCCAGUUGUGUUUGGUAGCUUGGACAAGGAAUUCAUACAGAAGUCAAAUCUGCUAGGAGGGAAUCUUCUCCGCUUUGCUGUAAGAGAUGAAAGUGUGACACUUGUGGAUGGAAAGAUGCAGAUCGGCGAGCUGCAGUUUGUUGGAAAGCCAAACCGUGCUCGUGCUUUUGCUGACAGCCAUUCGAAAGCUUUGUUCCAGUAUGCUGCAAGGCAUGCUCCUCUGAGAAUUGAUGAUCUGGUUGCUUCCAUUCAAUCGAACAAUAUGGAGCUUGAAUCCACCGAUGUUGAAAUGCAAGAUUAAGGUGCCUUUGUUAUCAAUUGGUAUUUAGUUUAACGGUUGAAUGCCAAUACAAAGAUAGAAUGAAGGAGCCUGCAAAUGAGAUCAAGGUUGUAGACCCAUCAUUCAUGUCAAGAUUUCAGCAAAUGUCGUGAUUGUCUGGAACCCGUGGUUUUCAGGGAGUGGCGUGUUUCCAGGUCUGAUAGAUAUUAGUACCUCAAGACCUGCCAAAAAAAAAGAAGGUGACCAGUGUAGCAUGAGUUUCUGGAGCAUGAGCAUUCGAAAUAUUGACAUGUAUAUUCAUGCAAUGUGUAAUAUAAUUCAAACUUGUGAGGUAUCGAUCGUCCCACGUUUGCAAUCUACGAAUGACAUUUCCAAUAGCUGAAAAACGCUCAAAGGAAAUGUGUUGCAUUGCA